Molecule: long non-coding RNA, 456 nt
Filed under: Helianthus annuus (common sunflower)
Lineage: Eukaryota; Viridiplantae; Streptophyta; Magnoliopsida; Asterales; Asteraceae
Description: sRNA HanXRQr2_Chr13g0607301
Source: RNAcentral
GUCAUUGGACUGCCGCAGAUGAAGUCAAAUGUGAUCAAACUUGGACAUCAGUCGUAAAUCUUGAAGAAACGGAACAUAAUCCCAGAUUUUCUAAAGAAGCGCUUUUAUCAUGUGUGAUCCAGAGGUCGGUCUCGGGUGGGCAUAAGAUCCGUGGGCCCUAUUGUCGGAUAUGUGACUCAAGAAAGUCAUUGGACUGCCGCAGAUGAAGUCAAAUGUGAUCAAACUUGGACAUCAACGUAAAUCUUGAAGAAACAGAACAUAAUCCCAGAUUGUCUAAAGAAGCGCUUUUAUCAUGUGUGAUCCAAAGAAGACGUAUCGGGUGUGUUGUAGCUUGGAAAGAUGACCGAAUGCGGUGUGUACGUUAAAUACCGUUCACAGCUUUUUUAGUUGCUUCUCUUGUUAAGUUUCUGAACCAACCGAAAUCCACAAAUACAAACAGUUUCUCCGUCGCUAAUU